CAUCUGGCCUAACACUGACGCUGAGGUGCGAAAGCAUGGGGAGCAAACAGGAUUAGAUACCCUGGUAGUCCAUGCCGUAAACGAUGUCUACUAGCCGUUGGGGCCUUUGAGGCUUUAGUGGCGCAGCUAACGCGAUAAGUAGACCGCCUGGGGAGUACGGUCGCAAGACUAAAACUCAAAUGAAUUGACGGGGGCCCGCACAAGCGGUGGAGCAUGUGGUUUAAUUCGAUGCAACGCGAAGAACCUUACCUGGCCUUGACAUAGUAAGAACUUUCCAGAGAUGGAUUGGUGCCUUCGGGAACUUACAUACAGGUGCUGCAUGGCUGUCGUCAGCUCGUGUUGUGAGAUGUUGGGUUAAGUCCCGCAACGAGCGCAACCCUUUUCCUUAUUUGCCAGCGAGUAAUGUCGGGAACUUUAAGGAUACUGCCAGUGACAAACUGGAGGAAGGCGGGGACGACGUCAAGUCAUCAUGGCCCUUACGGCCAGGGCUACACACGUGCUACAAUGGUCGGUACAAAGGGUUGCUACCUAGCGAUAGGAUGCUAAUCUCAAAAAGCCGAUCGUAGUCCGGAUUGGAGUCUGCAACUCGACUCCAUGAAGUCGGAAUCGCUAGUAAUCGCGGAUCAGAAUGCCGCGGUGAAUACGUUCCCGGGCCUUGUACAUACCGCCCGUCACACCAUGGGAGUUUGUUGCACCAGAAGUAGCUAGCCUAACUGCAAAGAGGGCGGUUACCACGGUGUGGCCGAUGACUGGGGUGAAGUCGUAACAAGGUAGCCGU
RNAcentral lists this ribosomal RNA (778 nucleotides) under uncultured bacterium. RNAcentral describes it as "bacterial SSU rRNA". It matches the Rfam family "Bacterial small subunit ribosomal RNA", at positions 726 to 1503 of the family's 1533-position model. The record is from RNAcentral.